Molecule: long non-coding RNA, 1382 nt
Organism: Rosa rugosa (rugosa rose)
Lineage: Eukaryota; Viridiplantae; Streptophyta; Magnoliopsida; Rosales; Rosaceae
Exons: 3
Source: RefSeq, a predicted model, not a curated record
UCUUUCUCUCUCUCGCUCGACCGAAACCGAAAACAGAGCAAAGGCUCUUCGGUCUCUCUCUACCUCCACCGGCCACCAAACGGCGUCGAACCACUUCCUUUUGCUUCGUCUCAGCCUUGCGCAGCUGCCAGAGGCAGCCUUGCACCGUGACACGGCCACCAGCGGCGGCGGGAAGCUCCGCCCGGUUUGAGCUCGUUUUGGAAACAAGCUUGAUAUCUCAAGCUACCGGUCACCAAUCCUCACCAAAAUCCAUCCACAAGCUCGACUCAACUUCCUGAAACUCCCAGAAGCAGCCUCACACGGCGGCGUGGCCCGUAGCAGUGGCUGCAAGUCAAACCCAACCAAGAACGAGACCGGAGCUAUCGAUCAAGAUAUCUCGAGCUGUAGUGCAUCGUUUUGAUUGAUUCUUUUUCCAGUGGGUUCCCCUUGAUGUUAUUAACAACUCUCUAGAAGGCAUCGAGGCCUGAAAUUGAAGCUUUGACGUCGAAAUCGAGCCUUGCCGGAUUCUGCAAAAUUCUGGAAUUUUUCCGACCACCGAAGCUUUCGAUCGGUAUAUCUCGAGCUACAGACCAUAUUUUUCUGUGAUUCUUGAACCAGUGAGUUCUUCUUGAGUUUCUUAACAACUCUUCAGAAGGAAUCGAAGCCUUAAAUUGACGUUUUUACGUCGAAUUGGAGCUCGCCGUUUUCUGCAGUUUCUCGCCGGUUUCUGGAAAAUUCCGGCCACCUUCAUACUGUUCAAGGUGACCGACGGUUUGAUUUGGCGGACGAUUCGUGAAAUUGUAUUUUGAGCUGUUAAGAAGACGCAGCAGGAAUUUAGAGCGGGUAAUCCUACAGGACAGGAGAACCAGGACGGUGAUCGUGCGGUUAGAGCAAUGGUUAUCGUUUUAUAGCAAUUGUAAUAGUGAGGCGAGUUAAGCUCAUUUGAGCAUUACAAUUUGAUUUGGUGGGAGUGUGCUGUAAUAAAUAACUUGAGGAUUUGGGUUAUUGUAAAUUUGAGAGUUGUGAAGUGUGGUUGUUUGUGAGAAAAAAAUUCAGGAUGUUAGUUGUAAUUUGUUAUUAUUCAUGUUUCGGAUUUGAAUUGAUUAUUCAAAAUUCGGGGCGUGACAGUUUGGUAUCAGAGCGUAAGGUACAUAUUUGGUGAUAAUCAGUACUCCCCGAGUGAUGGCCCGUCUGCAGCGGAUCCCCAUCAUAUACUCUUCGGUACUGGUAUAAUCAUUGGGUAUGUCUUAGUAUGGGGUCUAGACAGCGUGUAUGUCUGUAGGACGGUAGAGUUGUCUUCUAAGUUCGUAUUAGAAUAAGUUUAGUUUCCGCAGGUUGUAAUCUUCGAGGAAUAGAGACCUCUAGAUUUAACUCUGAUGAGUCGGUGAGAUUUGUUUUAUGGA